UACGGGGGGGGCAAGCGUUGUUCGGAAUUACUGGGCGUAAAGGGCUCGUAGGCGGCCAACUAAGUCAGACGUGAAAUCCCCAGGCUCAACCUGGGAACUGCGUCUGAUACUGGUUGGCUUGAAUCCGGGAGAGGGAUGCGGAAUUCCAGGUGUAGCGGUGAAAUGCGUAGAUAUCUGGAGGAACACCGGUGGCGAAGGCGGCAUCCUGGACCGGCAUUGACGCUGAGGCGCGAAAGCCAGGGGAGCAAACGGG
This 253-nucleotide ribosomal RNA is filed under the name uncultured bacterium. Its description in RNAcentral is "partial 16S ribosomal RNA". It matches the Rfam family "Bacterial small subunit ribosomal RNA", at positions 524 to 776 of the family's 1533-position model. The record is from RNAcentral.